GACGAACGCUGGCGGCGUGCUUAACACAUGCAAGUCGAACGCUGAAGCACCAGCUUGCUGGUGUGGAUGAGUGGCGAACGGGUGAGUAAUACGUGAGUAACCUGCCCUUGACUCUGGGAUAAGCCCGGGAAACUGGGUCUAAUACUGGAUGCUACAUGUCACCGCAUGGUGGUGUGUGGAAAGGGUUUACUGGUCUUGGAUGGGCUCACGGCCUAUCAGCUUGUUGGUGAGGUAAUGGCUCACCAAGGCGACGACGGGUAGCCGGCCUGAGAGGGUGACCGGUGACACGGGGAGUGAGACACACCCGAGCAGCGGGGGGGAGGGAGAGGUGGGAAAUGAUACGAGGGAGGCAGAAGCGUGUUGCAGGGGGGAGGAGUGUGGGCUGCCGGCAUGCGGUGUGGAACCCUGUAGCAGCAGGGGAGGAGCAACGAGGGACAGUACCAGCAGAAGGAGCGCCGGCUACGGACGUGGCAGCGGCGGCGAUAAUAAGGGGAAGAGCACACGUCUGAUC
This 511-nucleotide ribosomal RNA is filed under the name uncultured bacterium. RNAcentral describes it as "partial 16S ribosomal RNA". The stretch from base 18 to 365 matches the Rfam family "Bacterial small subunit ribosomal RNA", at positions 45 to 393 of the family's 1533-position model. The record is from RNAcentral.